UGCACUAAGGAAUUGGAUUGUGAUGAUUAGUUUUAUAGAGUGGAAAUGGUGGAAUUGUAAUUACCUUCUGAGUACUUAGAAGGAGGAUUUACCCUCAAAUCGUAGUUUGUUUCCUUUAGACUCCAACUUGGCAAUAAUGAAAUUACAAUUGGGAGUGGAGUCCCUCACAAUAAACAGUUGAGGAAAUUGCAAUUUGGCCACUUCCAAUGUAUUAUCCUAGUUAUUGCAAUUCAAUUCAAUAGUGAAUCCAAACACAGCCUUAGAUUUCCACUAGUGGUGGAAUUUAUCUGGUUUUUACUGUGAACAGAAGCAUUCUCAUUAAUGGCACCAUGGUUUAAAUGAUCAACCAUUACGACUCUGUAUUUUUUGAGUCAUAUCAGUUAUUGUUUGAAUUGUGGACCAAAAGCAUCCUGUCCACUCAUCUAGUAGGCCACAUAUGUAUGCCACACAUGUGGACUAUUUGCAAUUCUCGUACCAUCCAUUGUAUUAUACAUGAGUAGCACAACCGAUUUGUUUUAGUGGCCUGAUUUAUGCGCCAUGUCAUCCACAUGGUGGGGGCCCACCUGAUGCACGGUUUGGAUGCCCCACAAACCAACUGAAAAUAUCAAGUAGCACAAGAAGCCAAAGAAUUUGCUAUUACAAUUCCAAAUAUACAAAUGAAAGAAUCCAGAUAAUAUCACCAAAAGGGCAUUGUUUGGAUUUCUUACCACUCUUAUGACAUCGGUACUAAUGAAUUGAAUUGAAAUAACUAAUCCAGGAUAGAUGAAAGUCUUGAAGUUACACCUACUUUCUCAAGUAUAUUCAUAAUGUGGAAGUCUCCUUCAAAUUGAGUUUCUUUCUUUUCAAGUCCAACUCGAAACUAACAUGGUGUAGCAGGGGAAGUUGCUUUGACUUCAAGUGGUGGAUUGAAGAAGCUAUCUUUAUUAAUUGGUAACUAUGAAGAGGUUGCACUGAUAUUUACUCAAACUCUCUAAGUGCAUCAUGAAAAUACAAUUCUAGUCAAUCUUAGGAUCUCAACAAAAUAGACCUGUAUACAGAAUGCAGUUGGACCAUUCCACGAAUGUAAGUGGGCCAAGCACAGGCUAAGGUUUGACCCAUGGAUGAUCCUAACCACUCCUUUUCCUAUUUAUUGUUGAAUCUUUCAUUGGAUGAUCCAAGCCACAACUUUUCCUAUUAACUGCAGAUAAUCUUUCAUUGGCUGAUCUGAGCUACACCUUUUCCUAUAUACUUCUAACCAAAUUUCAUCGAGCGAUCCAAUCUGUCAAUUGGUUUAACUUUCCCUAUUUAUAUUAGACUAUGUUCUAUGUUCUCUAACCAUAGCAAAAUUACAUACUGCAGAGAAGCAGUACAGGAAAUGUUCACUUUUGAUAUGGUUAAAGAUAUGGAAACAGGAGAAAUUUGGAGAAUGAAAAUUUUGGUUUUCUAAAAGAUGGGAGUGAAAAAAUUUAUGCUGAUUGGAUUGUCCAUCGCCAAAUAUAUGUAGGUAGAAGAAAAUUUGGAAGCCAGGCAGGGGAAAACAACAUUCCACCACUACUUUUCAAGAUUUUGCACGCCAAUUUUUCUAGAGGAGGCUCAGUGACGUGUCUAUUGGGAGCUCGUCGUUGAAUUUUCUUGAGAAUAUGACAUCAUUAACCAACUUGUAAGACCAUAUGAUCUCAUCAUAUGCAGUAAUACUAAUCUGUUAGAUCUUUUGUUUUUUCUUUUUUCAUCCAUGCCUUGGAAACUUAAAACAAGAUACUCAUAUAUAUCUGAUUUGUGCUUUUCUCUACAGAGUCCUAAGAAACAAUAUGCUUUCUGGUACUAUUCCAUCCACCAUUGGAAAACACCUAUUAUUGAUG
Magnolia sinica is the source of this 1838-nucleotide long non-coding RNA. RefSeq lists it as uncharacterized. NCBI's taxonomy places the organism in Eukaryota, Viridiplantae, Streptophyta, Magnoliopsida, Magnoliales, Magnoliaceae. The record is from RefSeq and is a predicted model, not a curated record. The transcript has 3 exons.